Molecule: ribosomal RNA, 1005 nt
Filed under: Dictyocoela sp.
Lineage: Eukaryota; Fungi; Microsporidia
Description: partial small subunit ribosomal RNA
Rfam family: Microsporidia small subunit ribosomal RNA
Source: RNAcentral
GGGAGCCUGAGAGAUGGCUACCAGGACCAAGGUCAGCAGCAGGCGCGAAAAUUAUCGAAGCCCGCCCAGGGGCGAUAGUGAGGAGACGUGUAUACGAAGUACGUGUAAAGACCGUACUAAUAACUGGAGGUCAAGUCUGGUGCCAGCAUCCGCGGUAAUUCCAGCUCCAGGGGUGUCUAUGAUGAUUGCUGCGAUUAAAAAGUCCGUAGUCGAGCUGACUGACUGACCUGCAAUGUGAUUGAUUAAAAGACGAGCAGGGUUAGGAAAGCAGAGAAUUAGGAGCGACCGAGGGCUAGAGUAUUGAAUGGCGAGAGGUGAAAUUUGAUGACCCAUUCAGGAGUGACAAAGGCGAAGGCACUAGUCAAGGGCGAAUCCGAUGAUCAAGGACGUAGGCUAGAGUUUCGAAAACGAUUAGAGACCGGAGUAGUUCUAGCAGUAAACUAUGCCGACACCGUGGUAUUAAAUUUUAGUAUUGCGGAAGAGAAAUCAAGUAAGGCUUUGGGGAGAGUACGCGCGCAAGCGAUAAAUUUAAAGGAAAUUGACGGAGGAACACCACAAGGAGUGGAGUGUGCGGCUUAAUUUGACUCAACGCGGGACAGCUUACCAGGCCCGAUAAUCGAGCGAGCGUAGUACGCGAUAGGUUAAAGAGUGGUGCAUGGCUGCUAUCGACAGUUGGGGUGACCUUAGGGUUAAUUCCGGCAAGUAGUGAGACCCCUGCAGAUAGUGGACAGGUAUUUUUAAGAUACAGGAAGGAAGGGACAAGAGCAGGUCAGUGAUGCCCUUAGAUGGCCUGGGCUGCACGCGCACUACAGUGGUCAUUAUAAGUAGAAAGUAGAUAUAAAGAUGAUCGAGAGGGACUGAGCUUUGUAAAAGGCUCACGAACGAGGAAUUGCUAGUAAUCGUAGGCUCAUUAAGAUACGAUGAAUAUGUCCCUGUACCUUCAACACACCGCCCGUCGUUAUCGAAGAUGGAAUUGUGUGCGAACGAGCAUUAAGCGAGGAGCGC